GAUGAAGAACGCAGCGAAAUGCGAUAAGUAAUGUGAAUUGCAGAAUUCAGUGAAUCAUCGAAUCUUUGAACGCACAUUGCGCCCGCCAGUAUUCUGGCGGGCAUGCCUGUUCGAGCGUCAUUUCAACCCUCAAGCUCUGCUUGGUGUUGGGGACCGGCCGCAGCCUCAGUGCUCUGCCGCCCCCUAAAUACAGUGGCGGUCCCGCCGCAGCCUCCUUUGCGUAGUAGUAAACCACCUCGCACAUGGAACGCAGCGUGACCACGCCGUUAAACCCCCAACUUUCUGAAGUUUGACCUCGGAUCAGGUAGGAAUACCCGCUGAACUUAAGCAUAUCAAUAAGCGGAGGA
RNAcentral lists this unclassified non-coding RNA (347 nucleotides) under soil metagenome. RNAcentral's name for it is "partial contains 5.8S ribosomal RNA, internal transcribed spacer 2, and large subunit ribosomal RNA". The stretch from base 1 to 120 matches the Rfam family "5.8S ribosomal RNA", at positions 35 to 154 of the family's 154-position model. The record is from RNAcentral.